UACAGAGGUCUCAAGCGUUGUUCGGAUUCAUUGGGCGUAAAGGGUGCGUAGGUGGCGAGGCAAGUCAGAUGUGAAAUCCCGGGGCUCAACCCCGGAACUGCAUUUGAAACUGCCUUGCUCGAGUACUGGAGAGGGGACUGGAAUUUACGGUGUAGCAGUGAAAUGCGUAGAUAUCGUAAGGAAGACCAGUGGCGAAGGCGAGUCUCUGGACAGUUACUGACACUGAGGCACGAAGGCCAGGGGAGCAAACGGG
This 253-nucleotide ribosomal RNA is filed under the name uncultured bacterium. RNAcentral's name for it is "partial 16S ribosomal RNA". It matches the Rfam family "Bacterial small subunit ribosomal RNA", at positions 524 to 776 of the family's 1533-position model. The record is from RNAcentral.